This 1496-nucleotide ribosomal RNA is filed under the name metagenome. RNAcentral describes it as "bacterial SSU rRNA". It matches the Rfam family "Bacterial small subunit ribosomal RNA". The record is from RNAcentral.
AGAGUUUGAUCCUGGCUCAGGACGAACGCUGGCGGCACGCCUAACACAUGCAAGUCGAACGAAGCUAAUAGAGCUUGCUUUAUUAGCUUAGUGGCGGACGGGUGAGUAACACGUGAGCAACCUGCCUUAAAGAGGGGGACAACAGUUGGAAACGACUGCUAAUACCGCAUAAAGUUAUUUUAGGACAUCCUUAAAUAACCAAAGGAGCAAUCCGCUUUAAGAUGGGCUCGCGUCUGAUUAGCUAGUUGGUGAGGUAACGGCCCACCAAGGCGACGAUCAGUAGCCGGACUGAGAGGUUGAUCGGCCACAUUGGGACUGAGACACGGCCCAGACUCCUACGGGAGGCAGCAGUGGGGGAUAUUGGUCAAUGGGGGAAACCCUGAACCAGCGAUGCCGCGUGAGGGAAGAAGGUUUUCGGAUUGUAAACCUCUGUCAUCGGGGAAGAUAAUGACGGUACCCGAGAAGGAAGCCACGGCUAACUACGUGCCAGCAGCCGCGGUAAUACGUAGGUGGCGAGCGUUGUCCGGAAUUACUGGGUGUAAAGGGAGUGUAGGCGGGACUUCAAGUCAGGUGUGAAAUCUAUGGGCUCAACCCAUAGCGUGCACUUGAAACUGUAGUUCUUGAGUGAAGUAGAGGCAAGCGGAAUUCCUAGUGUAGCGGUAAAAUGCGUAGAUAUUAGGAGGAACACCAGUGGCGAAGGCGGCUUGCUGGGCUUUUACUGACGCUGAGGCUCGAAAGCGUGGGGAGCAAACAGGAUUAGAUACCCUGGUAGUCCACGCCGUAAACGAUGAUUACUAGGUGUGGGGGAGUUGACCUCUUCCGUGCCGGCGCUAACGCAAUAAGUAAUCCACCUGGGGAGUACGACCGCAAGGUUGAAACUCAAAGGAAUUGACGGGGGCCCGCACAAGCAGUGGAGUAUGUGGAUUAAUUCGAUGCAACGCGAAGAACCUUACCAGGUCUUGACAUCAAGUGACCGCCUUGGAAACAAGGCUUUCCCUUCGGGGACACAAAGACAGGUGGUGCAUGGUUGUCGUCAGCUCGUGUCGUGAGAUGUUGGGUUAAGUCCCGCAACGAGCGCAACCCCUAUCAUUAGUUGCUACAUUAAGUUGAGCACUCUAAUGAGACUGCCGUUGACAAAACGGAGGAAGGUGGGGAUGAUGUCAAAUCAUCAUGCCCUUUAUGAUCUGGGCUUCACACGUACUACAAUGGUGAUUAACAAUGGGAAGCAAUACAGCGAUGUGGAGCAAAUCCCCAAAAAUCAUCUCAGUUCGGAUUGCAGGCUGAAACUCGCCUGCAUGAAGUCGGAAUUGCUAGUAAUCGCAGAUCAGCAUGCUGCGGUGAAUACGUUCCCGGGCCUUGUACACACCGCCCGUCAAACCAUGAGAGUUGGCAACACCCGAAGCCUGUAGUCUAACCGCAAGGAGGACGCAGUCGAAGGUGGGGUCGAUGAUUGGGGUUAAGUCGUAACAAGGUAGCCGUAUCGGAAGGUGCGGCUG